RNAcentral lists this unclassified non-coding RNA (861 nucleotides) under Aphidius gifuensis. RNAcentral's name for it is "leucine repeat adapter protein 25-like, transcript variant X1". The record is from RNAcentral. Lineage: Eukaryota; Metazoa; Arthropoda; Insecta; Hymenoptera; Braconidae.
AUGGCAGCUUUUAUUUUUUUUUUUCUUUGUAACGGUUUUUUUUAUUUAUUAUUAACAUUUAUUAACAAAAUCAUUAAUUAUUCUUUUCCAAGUGUUAAAUUUAGUUAAACAAAUUGAGUGAUUUUAAUAGAAAAACAAUUGUUACAUUAAACAUUUGACACUUCUUUAUUGAUUAAUUAUAACCACAAAGAUUUAUAUGGCUUGUUAUUAAUAAAAAAUAAAUCAAUUGGUGUAUGUAUUAGUCAACAAUGAUAAACAAUUUCAAUUAACCUGUGUAAUUUUAGUUUUUCGUAUUUUAUUAUUAAUUAAUCAAAACAACUAUACAAUUAAAAAGAGGAAUAUUAAAGUUAUCUUGACACUUAUAACCUUUGACACUCAAAUGAUCAAAAAACCAUUAGUCAAAUGUAAUUGUUAGUUUAACAACAAUAACGAGGUGUAAAAAAAUAUGAAAGUCACUGUCAAAAGUUGGACAGGUGUUGCUACCUGGAGAUGGAUUGCAAAUGAUGAUAAUUGUGGUAUUUGUCGAAUGCCAUUUGAUGCAAGUUGUCCAGAUUGCAAAACUCCUGGUGAUGAUUGUCCACUAGUUUGGGGUCAAUGUUCUCAUUGUUUUCACAUUCACUGUAUUAUGAAGUGGUUGCAUUCGCAACAAACAAGUAGCUUGUGUCCCAUGUGCCGACAAGAGUGGAAAUUCAAGGAAUAAAUAAAGCCGGUAUCAUUUUCCUCCAGGUGUCACCACUCAAUUCAACAUCAGCAUACGAGAAAGAAUAGCAAUGUCGUCACUUCAAGGAUUACCACCAUUGCCAAGAAGUUUGAGUGGUUUUAAUAUUAAUGAAGGAAGAAGAGACGUUGGUGAACCACCAC